Molecule: ribosomal RNA, 206 nt
Filed under: uncultured bacterium
Lineage: Bacteria
Description: partial 16S ribosomal RNA
Rfam family: Bacterial small subunit ribosomal RNA
Source: RNAcentral
UGCGUAGGCGGUCUCUCAAGUCUGGCGUGAAAGCCCAGGGCUCAGCCUUGGAAGUGCGCUAGAAACUGAGAGGCUUGAGUGCCGGAGGGGAGAGUGGAAUUCCCGGUGUAGCGGUGAAAUGCGUAGAUAUCGGGAGGAAUACCGGUGGCGAAGGCGACUCUCUGGACGGCAACUGACGCUGAGGCACGAAAGCGUGGGAGCAAACA